AUUUAACGACAAAAAUUUUGUUGCUGCGUUUAUUUUACUUAUCAAAACAUUCCAAAAGUUAAUUGCGACGGAAAUUCCGUCGCUCGAUUCUUAAAAAUAAUUUUGCCCAAGUUAUUAUUAGCGACAAAAUUAUUGCCGUAGCUAUUUCCGUCGCUAUUCCUUUUUAAAAUUAAAGUUUAUCUAGGGCACAAAUCUGCUUACAGACUCACAUUCUCUCUCUCUCUAUCAAACUCGCCCACUUUCUCUCAUCUUCAACAAUGUGAGAUUCUUGCUUCCAAUCCAACAAAUUGGGCAUGAGUCUAAGGCUCAUGUACCAUUGCCGCACUUUCCCUUCUCUUCCACCAUCGUCGGCCACCGUCUUGAGGUAAUCCUAACUCAUCUCUCUCUAUCUCCAUAUUAAUUUUUAUAUCUGUAUCUUUUUCUGCCAUCAUGGUGAUUCUGGUUUCACCAAUUUUGUUGUUUUUGUUACUCCCAUAUAUUUUUCUUCACCAACUAUCAAUCUUAUCCGAAUAUUUCUAAAUGAUUCGUUCAGUGAUUUAUUUUUUAUAUGUUUUUCUUUUCAUUCUAUUUCUUUCUAAUUACUUCUGUUGUUGAAUAUUUGAUGUUUAGAAUGAUAGGCUGUGCCAUUGGGAUUACGUGGUGUGUGUUCUAAGGUUUAGAUGCAUGUGUUUUGAUAUAUAUUGUUGUGGUUGUUUCGUUACAGAUUGGCAUUGUUCAAUCUAUUGUUCGUGAGGCCUAUUUCAAUUUUUACUCCUUUCUGAAAGUAAGCUAAUAGUUAAUCAAAUUUUUCUCUUUUCUCUUUAGUUAACUUUGGUGUUAUUAAAGAAUUUGCAGACGUUAAAUAGUUCCAUAAGGUCAGUUGAGUUUAAUUGUUUGGGUUUGUUAAAUUUAUUGUUACAUUUCAGUUAAACCAAUUUUUCUUUUCAAUUAAACCAAUUUUUCUCACCAACCUUGUCUAUAGGCCUGGAAUGAUAUUUUGAGAUACUAUUUAGCCUUGAAUUUUUGACAUCAAAUUUAUAAAAAUUUGAAAGGUUCAGUUUGUUGUUAUUUAAGAGAAUUAGUACACCUUUUUAUAAUUGGAUGCCCCUAUAAUGCUGUUAAAAUUGGUGUAGAUAUUAUGAGUUAUAUAUCUUGCGUAAGAAUUUUGGUAACAUCAGAAUAUAUAAAAAUUCUUUAUCACAUCUGAUUUUACUCAUUGUAGUUAAUGAUUUAAUACUUGAUUAGCUCCUCCUUGGUUGAAGAAAGCAAAUUAGCUUAUCCAUUCAUGAGAUUCUUUGUGUAUUAUACUAGUAACUAUUGUUAAAGAAUUAUUGUAACCUCAGAGUGUAUGAAAAAUUCUUGAUCAAAUAUUCUUUUUACCAUUUAAAAUUAAUGAUGUCAGAUUUUACUUGUCUCCUCAUCUGUUAGAAGAAAGCAAAUUAGCUUAUCCAUUUUCACGAGGCCUUUCUGAGUACUACAAUAGUGAUAUUGUAAAAAUAAACUCUUAACAAAUUAGCUUAUUUUUCUUGAGACACUCUAUGGACUAGAGUUGUUAAAUUAUUAAGGAUCUUUGUCGACUAUAGUUAUGAUAUUGUAAAAGUAUUGCUUUGUUUUAUCCCUUCCUGAUAUGUUUUAUGUCACCGCAAGAUGGAUGCUAACAUUCCUAACACUAAUAAGUAGUAAUGUAGCCAUGACUUGCCUUUACUUAUUUAAUUUUUGCUUUUAAAUUAGUUGAAGAAAAGAAUAAAACAAGUUGCCAUCCUUUUGGGAUUCUAACACUUUUUCUUCCUUAUGUUUCAGUUUAAAAAGGACUUUUGAAAGAAAUGGAGAUGUCUUGCCAUGUGAUAGUUGAAUAGGUUAACUUUUUUGCUAUAGUAUCAGUUCUGGAAAAGAUAGAUUCAGAUUUGCAAAGGUGAUCAUUUAUCUUGUUUAAUAGAAGUUUUAUGAGAUCAUUGUUUUGGGCAAUUUCUUCUAAUUGAUGUUACUCAGUUUCUGCACUAGAUGCCGCACGUUGAUAGCUUACAUAGAAAUGAGUUGCAAUAGUUUGUCUGGUUCCUCGUAAAGUUCUCAGAGCUCUGAAUUCCUUAAUCUAUCGAAGUAUCAUUGUAAUAAUUCUUCCCAAAUUACAAUCAAAAGACUAGCAAUAAUAGAGUUGAAUUUUCUUUUUGUACAAGAUGUCCGAUCAAUUACUGGCAACGGAAUGAUUGACUUAUGAAAAGAUGGAUCUGUGAAUCGUUGUCGCUAUAUUUAUUGUUUAAGUUAACGGAAUUAAUUCAAAUUAGGAGUGAUCUUAGUGUAGUUGUAUGUUGAUAUCUUUUUAAUUGUUCAAAAUUGUAAGGAGUACACUUAGUCGAUCGGUACUUUUAUUUUUUGUAUACCGUAUUGAAAGCAUUCACUUUACCUAUAAUUUAUUUAUUUCAAUAUUAAAUAGGAAUAUGGAUAAUCUAGAGCGUGAUUGUAGCCAUAAACUACUUGUAAUAAUAUCUAGCAGAUUGACUUUGCAUAGAAAGAAAGUGAUUAAAACCUGAUAUUUGCUAAUAAAUUUUAGAUGAAUAAUAUAAUUAGAUAUGCAUUGUAUCAUAUCCUUUUUUAUUUUUUAUAUAUUUUAUAGAUAUGCCUCGAGGGAGAGGUCAAGAUAGUGCAGGUCGUGUAAGCAAAUCUUCAGUUAGGGGUAAAUGUGCUGCUCGUGAAAACAUGCAUACUGUUUCUAUUCCCACAACUAGUCCUCAACAAGGUGGCACCAGUUCC
Molecule: long non-coding RNA, 2727 nt
Filed under: Nicotiana tabacum (common tobacco)
Lineage: Eukaryota; Viridiplantae; Streptophyta; Magnoliopsida; Solanales; Solanaceae
Description: long non-coding RNA (NTAB_LNC006018)
Source: RNAcentral